CCUACGGGAGGCAGCAGUGGGGAAUUUUCCGCAAUGGGCGAAAGCCUGACGGAGCAAGACCGCGUGGGGGAGGAAGGUUCUUGGAUUGUCAACCCCUUUUCUCAGGGAAGAACAAAAUGACGGUACCUGAGGAAAAAGCAUCGGCUAACUCCGUGCCAGCAGCCGCGGUAAUACGGGGGAUGCAAGCGUUAUCCGGAAUGAUUGGGCGUAAAGAGUCCGUAGGUAGUCAAUCAAGUCUGCUGUUAAAGAGCGAGGCUUAACUUCGUAAAGGCAGUGGAAACUGUAAGACUAGAGUGUAGUAGGGGCAGAGGGAAUUCCUGGUGUAGCGGUGAAAUGCGUAGAGAUCAGGAAGAACACCGGUGGCGAAGGCGCUCUGCUGGGCUAUAACUGACACUGAGGGACGAAAGCUAGGGGAGCGAAUGGGAUUAGAUACCCCGGUAGUC
Molecule: ribosomal RNA, 443 nt
Filed under: uncultured Planktothrix sp.
Lineage: Bacteria; Bacillati; Cyanobacteriota; Cyanophyceae; Oscillatoriales; Microcoleaceae
Description: bacterial SSU rRNA
Rfam family: Bacterial small subunit ribosomal RNA
Source: RNAcentral